UCUUAUUGAAAAUAUUGAUUCAAGAAAUGUAAAUUGUGUUUCAUAAACCAAAGAUGAAGAACUAGCUGCUCGGUUUCUCACCCAAAUGCUGUUAAUCGUGUACUCACCGAGUAUGAAAAAUAAGUUCAUUUUAGAUAGGUGACUUUGGCGAGACAAGAUAUAAAACUGAAAAGCAGUUGUUGAUUUAAACUUUUGGCGUUUUAAUAUUCCUAAAGGGUCAGGUUACAGAUUUGCAUAUAAUGUUAGGCCUAGGAUCAUACUUAUUUGGAAACUUAAAACGGCAAGAAGCCUCUUUGUGAACGUAAUAAUGAAGUGAGACACGCAUUUCACAGUGACUGAAUUUCAAGUAUAGGUGUUACGAAGCAGAUCAACAACCAAAUUGACUGUCAUAUUAAACAUGAAUGAAGAAGAAGGUGGAGAAUCAGCCACAAAUGUUGAAGUUGUUACUCCACAUCAGAUUCAAGGUAGUGUUGAAGGCUGGAAUUUGAAGAUGACAGAGUCUGGAGAGGUUUAUUUCAUUACAGAAGAAGGAGAAGCUGGAGAAAUUAGAGUGUCACCUAAUAGUAUACCAGCUGAUGGUUCGGUACAGUACUUGGCAGUAAAUGAUUCUUCAGUUGACUUGAACAAUGCUUCAGGGAAUGAAAACAUUGUUAUCUAUUCUUCGGCAGUGGAUCAUUCUGUAGAUAUGACAAAAAAUGGUGUCACUGGUCAAAUUGUGCUUAACAAGUACCAAGAAACAUUCCAUAAUGAAGAUAGUGUGGCUGGCAUAUCUUCUGUUUUACCCGAAAAUACUUUAGACGGUGAAGAUCAGUUAGCUAAAACAAAUGCAACCCAACUCAGCAAAAAUGCUCAACAGAUAUCUUACACCAGCCCUGAAGAAGCUCUCUAUACUGUUUCUUCUGACAGAUUAUCAGAAACCAGUACAGUUAAGAGCACAACUAAACCCUAUGCUAGUGAAGAUAUUGUACUCCACCCUGACAGCUCUUGUGGGGUAACAGAGGAUUCUGUACCUGCUCAAGUAAACACUCUCCACCUCCCAGAAACCAUUUUAAAAACAACAGAGAAAGGUGGGCAAUAUUUUGGAACAAAAUACCUUGUUCUACAACAACCAGAUGGCUCCCAGCAACAAUUGUUACUCUUGGAAGAACGUGAAGUAGACCAGACAUAUAAUGAUGGUAAUGUGAGUAUAACUGGAAGUGAACAUUCAAAAAAUGACCUAGAUUUCUUAACUACUGAACAUGUGACAUCAUCCAUGGCUCCAGAUGCAGCUUCGUCACCAACUAGAGCUGUUAGCAGUUUUAAAAGUGACAGCAAAACAAACAGAUUUCUUAAACUUGACCCAUCACAACUUCAGAUCAAAAGAAGUGAUAUAAUUAAAAGCUCUUCACUGAAGAAAGAAGAAAUUUUAAAGAUGUUCAUGGGCAGUAAAACUAACCGGAAGAAAAAGUCUGUCAGUUCAAAACUUCCUACAAAACCUAAUAUGACUGAACCUGUUGUUAUAAAGGAGGUGUUGGAAAGGUUAACAUCAUUAGAAAAAGAAGUUAAGCAAAUUAAUGCCAAUUAUCAACAUAUGAACACCCAGUAUAUUCAAAUGAAUAAACAACUUCAGAAUUUGACAAAAUUAAUAAAGGAGGAAACUAACAAACCAAAGAUGACAACCCCUAGCUCUUCAUCCAUAGGUCAGUUUAAUAACAGGGUUACUGGUAAACCAACAAUUGUGUCUUUAAGACCCUCAGUAGGCUCUCAGCCUCAGUCUUGUUCAUCAAUGACACCUUACUCACAAGCUCCCCCUUUUUCAUUUGAUGAUGAUUCUCGCACCUCAGAUGAUUACAGUGAAUCGGAGCUUUGGGAAGAAGAUGAAAAUAGGCUGGAAGGUGACAAUAUCCAUUGCCUUGAAGACAGCACAAGAGGUGGAAGGUUGGUAGCUUGGAGCCCUCAAAUGACAAAGCUGCUUUUGUCCUUAAGACAAAAACAUGAUGGUCUAUUUAAUGAAGACUUUGUUCAAGGGGAACGUCUAACAAAAAGAAAAGCAUGGAAUAUUAUUGCAAAGAUUAUAACAAAAGUUAGCUCUGUUUAUGUAACAGGAGAUCAAUGUGAAACAAAGUGGAAAAGAGAAACAAACAAGAAAAAACCUUUAGUGCAGGAUGGAAGUAAAAGUGAGAUUCCGAGUCCUUCAGUAAAAUCAGCAGGAAAUAAUCAUACAAAUAUUAGCUCUUCACUAAAUGUGGCUGGAUUGAAAUCUGCAAGAAAACAGCUUAACCCUACAAAGUUAAGCAUACCAUUUUCUUCAAAGUCAGCCAGUGGUUGUUCUGUAAUGUCAAAUGGAAAUACUGAAGCAUCUAUUGUAAUCAGUGAAGAGUCCACUCAAAGUUCUCAGGACAAAGCAGAAGAAAUACAAAAAGAUACCAUAAAAGACAAAAGUGUUGAUAAAGCUGAAACACCAGCUGAAUCUAGUGAUAGAAAACGACCUCGGAAAGAGGAAGACAGUUACAUUCAGACUAUCAAAAAGAUGCACAGUGAUCGGAUGCAGAUUCUAGAAAAGCUAGUUCAAGUGUUUUCUGAAGACACGUAAAUAGCUGCAAGUGGAAAACAUAAUGUAAAGUCGUUUUUUCAAAAUAUAUGUUUAGAUCAUCCACUCAUUGCUCAUAUUCAUUCUCUGAAAUGUUGUUGUUAGUUUUUCUUCUAAACAUAGGUCAUUUUGUCAUAAUUUUUGUAAUAAAUGCUCUAAUCACAUAAUUAUUUUAAGUUGUAUUUUUUUUCUGUCAUAAGAAACACUAGAUAUUAACUGAAUGGAAGAUAAACUGAAAUGAUGGAUAAGUGAGCUAAUGUCAUGUUAAACUGACCUUUCACAGUCAUUUUUCUAAACUUAUUUUGAUGAAUUUUUUUAUUCCUAUCAGUAAAAAAAUUGAGAUAUAAUUAUAGAAUGUAUUGUUUUGCAUGUCACUCGCUGUUCAAUUAUUUAGUUUAAGUCCAGUUGAAUAACUUGUUAUUUUCGUUGUUGUGUCUUAGUCUAUAAUUUACUUGAAUUUAAGCAUUAAAAUUUCUUGACUACUAGAUCAAAAUAAUUACAUUAUGUUUAUACCUUUAAUCUGGCUGUAAUGUUUUAUUAAGAUAUUAAUAAUAAUGAAACAAAUAGUAGGUUUAAAAAAAUUAAUUCAUUUGCCCAUUCGCAAAUGACCAGUCAAAAAACAAAUUCCCCAAAAUUGAGAAGUAUUUCAUAAUUAAUUCGUCUAAAAAUCAUUUUCCUAAACUUGUUUCAAUUUGUUGAUCAGCAUCAUUUCUCACUAGUCAUUAUGUUUGAAUAACAGAGCUAAAACCACAAGAAUAAAGGGCCUAAAGUUAGAAUAAUUUAAGUACUAAUUAAAACUUAUCUUUGAAUAUGCAGGUACUUUGUGUGUGUAAUGAUGAACCUUAUGUAAGAAUAGAAUAUCAAAAUGUUGAAUAAUGUUCAUGUGAAACAAUAAUGAAUGAUUGUUAAUGCAGACUUCAAAUCACUAAGUCCUAUAAAAACAUUUCAAGCAUGCAUAUCUAAAAGAUGGGUAAGAAGGGGCUGGAAACCAUAGAUAAAUGCCACUUGUGCAACCACUGUGAACUUGUUUUUUUUUCUCCACAAUUUUUGCAUUUAGUAGUUGUCAGUGGUUUAUUGUGAUUACAUAUCAGUAUUUUGUUUGUUUGCUUCGGGUGCUGUAAUCCAGUAUUCAAAUAAUCUCUGAAUAUUCUUCUCAAGAUUGAAGUUUUGUUUUUCUUUUUCAAAAAUUAGUAUAAAUAUUCAAAGUUUUUGGUUUUAUAUUGUUAGUAGUUUUACACGUAUCAAAUUAAAAAAAUUACUUUCUUUUUUCUGUUUCUGCUAUUUGAUACAACUAAUCUUCCAACAGAAAGAUUGAAGUUGAAAGAAGAUAGUCUAGCAGGGAUCUCCAUCAUGUUGUUGAUAAGCACACAAUAUCUAUGUAUUAAACAAUCUAUAUAAAUGGCUGAGCAUGUAUGCACUUUCCCUGAUCAAAUCGGGUUUUUGUUGGCUAGAUAUUGUUAAAAGUUGCAUGCUUUGAUGUCUUUAGAAUCAUUGUUUAAUAUAGUUUUUAAUGGAUGGAACAGUGAUAUAGAAUCAUUGUUAAACAUGGUUUAAAUGGACGGAACAGUGAUAUAGAAUCAUUGUUUAACAUAGUUUAAAUGAAUGGAACAGUGAUAUAGAAUCAUUGUUUAACAUAGUUUAAAUGGAUGGAACAGUGAUAUAGAAUCAUUGUUAAACAUGGUUUAAAUGGAUGGAACAGUGAUAUAGAAUCGUUGUUUAAUAUGGUUUUUAAUGGAUGGAACAGUGAUGCAUUAAAACUUCUGAUUGUUUUGCUGCAUUCAGCUUUUCUUCUUUUCUUUCCUUGUGCCGAGUUUGAUUCUUUAUAUAUUGUCCUGAUAGAAAUGCAGAUAGCUGGGGUGGGGGUCAUGAACAGACGUUUUUUGUUUUUUUUUAAGUAUAGCCUCAAACUGAUAAAAGUAAAUAUGAAUGAAAACUUUUGCAAUUACUAGUAUCUAAUGUUGGAAACAUGGUCAGUUGAAUGGAUAAGUAUGAUCAAUUGAUGUACAUUACAAGAUCAAUGUCAGAUUUUGUGACAAUUUCCUUGACAAACAAUGGACUAAAUAUAUGAGUAAAUUACAGAAAUAUCUCUUUACAUAAUCAUUUAGGCCUAAUAAAGGGGCAAUGUUAGACCUAUUUCUGUGCCAUUACCUAGCUGUGUUAGUUAUUUUGGAUAUGGUGGUUGUGUGAAAUUAGUAUGCUGUAUUAAUACUUUAUAAUUUGAGAAAACAUGGCUUAACUUAGUAUCAUAACUAUAAACAGCAGUACAUAAAAAUAGUACUUGUACCUAGUAUUUUGUUACUUUUUGAAACUUAGAUAAAUCUCACAGAAUAUAAGUUAUUUGUAAGUUGCUACAGUAGAGUGCUUGCUACUUCUGUUAUUUCACAUGAACUGAUAGAGUUGAAAAGUUUAACUAUGUGUAGGCUUGAUGUUCACUGAUUGACUUCUGAUAAUAUUUUUAUUGGUUGAGCCUUUCUAUAAUUGUGCUUAUUGGCUAUGUAUUAUGAUUAUUCUGGAAAUUCUGUUGGUUAUGUAUAGAAAUGUUGUUAUAUAUAUAAAAAAAAAAGAGUUUUGAGGGUUUUUUAGUUUCAAUAAAAGUUAUGAAAUCACUUUUCUGUUGGUGAAAGUGAUGAAUGAGGUUUAGUGACACAGAGUAGCCAAUGUCCAUUUUCAACAAUGAAAUGAUGCAUCA
This 5258-nucleotide unclassified non-coding RNA is filed under the name Limulus polyphemus (Atlantic horseshoe crab). RNAcentral's name for it is "uncharacterized LOC106462853, transcript variant X4". Lineage: Eukaryota; Metazoa; Arthropoda; Merostomata; Xiphosura; Limulidae. The record is from RNAcentral.